RNAcentral lists this ribosomal RNA (138 nucleotides) under uncultured bacterium. Its description in RNAcentral is "partial 16S ribosomal RNA". It matches the Rfam family "Bacterial small subunit ribosomal RNA", at positions 372 to 527 of the family's 1533-position model. The record is from RNAcentral.
UGGGCGCAAGCCUGAUCCAGCCAUGCCGCGUGUGUGAUGAAGGCCCUAGGGUUGUAAAGCACUUUCAACGGUGAAGAUAAUGACGGUAACCGUAGAAGAAGCCCCGGCUAACUUCGUGCCAGCAGCCGCGGUAAUACG